RNAcentral lists this ribosomal RNA (626 nucleotides) under Flavobacterium sp. Ri3Ps_6485. RNAcentral describes it as "bacterial SSU rRNA". It matches the Rfam family "Bacterial small subunit ribosomal RNA", at positions 388 to 1015 of the family's 1533-position model. The record is from RNAcentral. Lineage: Bacteria; Pseudomonadati; Bacteroidota; Flavobacteriia; Flavobacteriales; Flavobacteriaceae.
CCAGCCAUGCCGCGUGCAGGAUGACGGUCCUAUGGAUUGUAAACUGCUUUUAUACGAGAAAAAACACUCCUUCGUGAAGGAAUUUGACGGUAUCGUAAGAAUAAGGAUCGGCUAACUCCGUGCCAGCAGCCGCGGUAAUACGGAGGAUCCGAGCGUUAUCCGGAAUCAUUGGGUUUAAAGGGUCCGUAGGCGGUCUAGUAAGUCAGUGGUGAAAGCCCAUCGCUCAACGGUGGAACGGCCAUUGAUACUGCUGGACUUGAAUUACUAGGAAGUAACUAGAAUAUGUAGUGUAGCGGUGAAAUGCUUAGAGAUUACAUGGAAUACCAAUUGCGAAGGCAGGUUACUACUAGUGGAUUGACGCUGAUGGACGAAAGCGUGGGUAGCGAACAGGAUUAGAUACCCUGGUAGUCCACGCCGUAAACGAUGGAUACUAGCUGUUGGGGGCAACUUCAGUGGCUAAGCGAAAGUGAUAAGUAUCCCACCUGGGGAGUACGUUCGCAAGAAUGAAACUCAAAGGAAUUGACGGGGGCCCGCACAAGCGGUGGAGCAUGUGGUUUAAUUCGAUGAUACGCGAGGAACCUUACCAAGGCUUAAAUGUAGUUUGACCGUUUUGGAAACAGAACUUU